UACGGAGGAUGCGAGCGUUAUCCGGAUUUAUUGGGUUUAAAGGGUGCGUAGGCGGCCUGCCAAGUCAGCGGUAAAAUUGCGGGGCUCAACCCCGUACAGCCGUUGAAACUGCCGGGCUCGAGUGGGCGAGAAGUAUGCGGAAUGCGUGGUGUAGCGGUGAAAUGCAUAGAUAUCACGCAGAACCCCGAUUGCGAAGGCAUCUCACGAAUCCGCGAUUGACGCUGAUGCACGAAAGCGUGGGUAUCAAACAGG
RNAcentral lists this ribosomal RNA (252 nucleotides) under uncultured bacterium. RNAcentral's name for it is "partial 16S ribosomal RNA". It matches the Rfam family "Bacterial small subunit ribosomal RNA", at positions 524 to 776 of the family's 1533-position model. The record is from RNAcentral.